This 97-nucleotide non-coding RNA is filed under the name Photobacterium aphoticum. Its description in RNAcentral is "Photobacterium sp. CECT 7614 Translational regulator of tfoXVC". It matches the Rfam family "Translational regulator of tfoXVC". The record is from Rfam by way of RNAcentral. Lineage: Bacteria; Pseudomonadati; Pseudomonadota; Gammaproteobacteria; Vibrionales; Vibrionaceae.
AUUCCAAUGGUUGGUGGUUCCCCCAUCAACCAGCAGCAAGCGAAGGUGUCCUUGACACCCGUGAUAUGGUCGAGAGGCCAUAUCACGUCAUUUUUUU